Molecule: ribosomal RNA, 446 nt
Filed under: uncultured bacterium
Lineage: Bacteria
Description: bacterial SSU rRNA
Rfam family: Bacterial small subunit ribosomal RNA
Source: RNAcentral
CCAGACUCCUACGGGAGGCAGCAGUGGGGAAUAUUGCACAAUGGGGGAAACCCUGAUGCAGCGACGCCGCGUGAGCGAUGAAGUAUUUCGGUAUGUAAAGCUCUAUCAGCAGGGAAGAAAAUGACGGUACCUGACUAAGAAGCCCCGGCUAACUACGUGCCAGCAGCCGCAGUAAUACGUAGGGGGCAAGCGUUAUCCGGAUUUACUGGGUGUAAAGGGAGCGUAGACGGUUCUGCAAGCCAGAUGUGAAAGCCCGGGGCUCAACCCCGGGACUGCAUUGGAAACUGUCAGGCUAGAGUGUCGGAGAGGCAAGUGGAAUUCCUAGUGUAGCGGUGAAAUGCGUAGAUAUUAGGAGGAACACCAGUGGCGAAGGCGGCUUGCUGGACGAUGACUGACGUUGAGGCUCGAAAGCGUGGGGAGCAAACAGGAUUAGAUACCCUCGUAGC